GAGAAGCUUGCUUCUCUUGAGAGCGGCGGACGGGUGAGUAAUGCCUAGGAAUCUGCCUCGGUAGUGGGGGAUAACGUUCGGAAACGGACGCUAAUACCGCAUACGUCCUACGGGAGAAAGCAGGGGACCUUCGGGCCUUGCGCUAUCAGAUGAGCCUAGGUCGGAUUAGCUAGUUGGUGGGGUAAUGGCUCACCAAGGCGACGAUCCGUAACUGGUCUGAGAGGAUGAUCAGUCACACUGGAACUGAGACACGGUCCAGAUCUCCUACGGGAGGCAGCAGUGGGGAAUAUUGGACAAUGGGCGAAAGCCUGAUCCAGCCAUGCCGCGUGUGUGAAGAAGGUCUUCGGAUUGUAAAGCACUUUAAGUUGGGAGGAAGGGCCAUUACCUAAUACGUGAUGGUUUGACGUUACCGACAGAAUAAGCACCGGCUAACUCUGUGCCAGCAGCCGCGGUAAUACAGAGGGUGCAAGCGUUAAUCGGAAUUACUGGGCGUAAAGCGCGCGUAGGUGGUUUGUUAAGUUGGAUGUGAAAUCCCCGGGCUCAACCUGGGAACUGCAUUCAAAACUGACUGACUAGAGUAUGGUAGAGGGUGGUGGAAUUUCCUGUGUAGCGGUGAAAUGCGUAGAUAUAGGAAGGAACACCAGUGGCGAAGGCGACCACCUGGACUGAUACUGACACUGAGGUCGCGAAAGCGUGGGGAGCCAACAGGAUUAGAUACCCUGGUAGUCCACGCCGUAAACGAUGUCAACUAGCCGAUUGGGAGCCUUGAGCUCUUAGUGGCGCAGCUAACGCAUUAAGUUGACCGCCUGGGGAGUACGGCCGCAAGGUUAAAACUCAAAUGAAUUGACGGGGGCCCGCACAAGCGGUGGAGCAUGUGGUUUAAUUCGAAGCAACGCGAAGAACCUUACCAGGCCUUGACAUCCAAUGAACUUUCUAGAGAUAGAUUGGUGCCUUCGGGAACAUUGAGACAGGUGCUGCAUGGCUGUCGUCAGCUCGUGUCGUGAGAUGUUGGGUUAAGUCCCGUAACGAGCGCAACCCUUGUCCUUAGUUACCAGCACGUAAUGGUGGGCACUCUAAGGAGACUGCCGGUGACAAACCGGAGGAAGGUGGGGAUGACGUCAAGUCAUCAUGGGCCCUUACGGCCUGGGCUACACACGUGCUACAAAUGGUCGGUACAGAGGGUUGCCAAGCCGCGAGGUGGAGCUAAUCCCAUUAAAACCGAUCGUAGUCCGGAUCGCAGUCUGCAACUCGACUGCGUGAAGUCGGAAUCGCUAGUAAUCGCCGAAUCAGAAUCUCGCGGUGAAUA
This 1306-nucleotide ribosomal RNA is filed under the name Pseudomonas sp. RNAcentral describes it as "bacterial SSU rRNA". It matches the Rfam family "Bacterial small subunit ribosomal RNA", at positions 73 to 1368 of the family's 1533-position model. Lineage: Bacteria; Pseudomonadati; Pseudomonadota; Gammaproteobacteria; Pseudomonadales; Pseudomonadaceae. The record is from RNAcentral.